RNAcentral lists this ribosomal RNA (590 nucleotides) under uncultured bacterium. Its description in RNAcentral is "bacterial SSU rRNA". It matches the Rfam family "Bacterial small subunit ribosomal RNA", at positions 92 to 698 of the family's 1533-position model. The record is from RNAcentral.
UUAGUGGCGAACGGGUGAGUAACGCGUGAGCAACCUGCCUUAAAGAGGGGGACAACAGCUGGAAACGGCUGCUAAUACCGCAUAACAUAUUUGGGUGGCAUCAUCUGAAUAUCAAAGGAGAAAUCCGCUUUGAGAUGGGCUCACGUCUGAUUAGCUAGAUGGUAAGGUAACGGCUUACCAUGGCUUCGAUCAGUAGCCGGACUGAGAGGUUGAACGGCCACAUUGGGACUGAGAUACGGCCCAGACUCCUACGGGAGGCAGCAGUGGGGAAUAUUGGGCAAUGGGCGAAAGCCUGACCCAGCAAUGCCGCGUGAAGGAAGAAGGUUUUCGGAUUGUAAACUUCUUUUAUGAGGGACGAAAAAAAUGACGGUACCUCAUGAAUAAGCCACGGCUAACUACGUGCCAGCAGCCGCGGUAAUACGUAGGUGGCAAGCGUUGUCCGGAUUUACUGGGUGUAAAGGGCGCGUAGGCGGGAGCAUAAGUCAGGUGUGAAAUCUCUGGGCUCAACCCAGAACUGCACUUGAAACUGUGUUUCUUGAGUGAUGAGAGGCAGGCGGAAUUCCUAGUGUAGCGUGAAAUGCGUAGAUAUA